GUCUUCUUGAAUAUAUAAGAAGUCUGACCUGCCCGGUGAAUAAGUAUUUAACGGCCGCGGUAUUUUGACCGUGCAAAGGUAGCAUAAUCAUUAGUCUUUUAAUAGAGGGCUGGAAUGAAGGGUUUGACGAAAUGCUUACUGUCUCAUUUAAUUUGGAAUUUGAAUUUAACUUUUUAGUUAAAAGGCUAAAUUGUUGUUGGAAGACGAGAAGACCCUAUAGAGCUUUAUAGUUUAAAAUUUAAAAAAUUUUUGGUGAAUUACUAUUUUUUAAAUGGAUAAUUAUUUUGUUGGGGUGACAAAAAUAUAUGAUAAACUUUUUUAUUUUAAUAACAUUGAUUUAUGAUUAUUAGAUCCAUUACUAUUGAUUGAUAGAGAAAGUUACCUUAGGGAUAACAGCGUAAUCUUCCUUCAGAGUUCAAAUUUACAGGAAGGCUUGCGACCUCGAUGUUGGAUUAAGAUAAUAAUUAGGUGUAGCCGCUUAAUUAAUAGGUCUGUUCGACCUUUAAAUUCUU
Molecule: ribosomal RNA, 512 nt
Filed under: Chlorogomphus tunti
Lineage: Eukaryota; Metazoa; Arthropoda; Insecta; Odonata; Chlorogomphidae
Description: partial 16S ribosomal RNA
Rfam family: Bacterial large subunit ribosomal RNA
Source: RNAcentral